This 497-nucleotide ribosomal RNA is filed under the name uncultured bacterium. Its description in RNAcentral is "partial 16S ribosomal RNA". It matches the Rfam family "Bacterial small subunit ribosomal RNA", at positions 28 to 507 of the family's 1533-position model. The record is from RNAcentral.
GAUGAACGCUGGCGGCGUGCCUAAUACAUGCAAGUCGAGCGAACAGACGAGGAGCUUGCUCCUCUGACGUUAGCGGCGGACGGGUGAGUAACACGUGGAUAACCUACCUAUAAGACUGGGAUAACUUCGGGAAACCGGAGCUAAUACCGGAUAAUAUAUUGAACCGCAUGGUUCAAUAGUGAAAGACGGUUUUGCUGUCACUUAUAGAUGGAUCCGCGCCGCAUUAGCUAGUUGGUAAGGUAACGGCUUACCAAGGCAACGAUGCGUAGCCGACCUGAGAGGGGGAUCGGCCACACUGGAGCUGAGACACGGUCCAGACUCCUACGGGAGGCAGCAGUAGGGAAUCUUCCGCAAUGGGCGGAAGCCUGACGGAGCAACGCCGCGUGAGUGAUGAAGGUCUUCGGAUCGUAAAACUCUGUUAUUAGGGAAGAACAAAUGUGUAAGUAACUAUGCACGUCUUGACGGUACCUAAUCAGAAAGCCACGGCUAACUACGUG